Molecule: ribosomal RNA, 476 nt
Filed under: uncultured bacterium
Lineage: Bacteria
Description: bacterial SSU rRNA
Rfam family: Bacterial small subunit ribosomal RNA
Source: RNAcentral
GACGAACGCUGGCGGCGUGCCUAACACAUGCAAGUCGAGCGGAGAUAAUCGAGAAGGCAACUUUAAGGAUAUCUUAGCGGCGGACGGGUGAGUAACACGUGGGCAACCUGCCUUUUACAGGGGGAUAACACUGGGAAACUAGUGCUAAUACCGCAUAAAACAUAUUAUGGGCAUCUGUGAUAUGUCAAAGGAGUCAAAUCCGGUAAAAGAUGGGCCCGCGUCCGAUUAGCUAGUUGGUGGGGUAAGGGCCCACCAAGGCGACGAUCGGUAGCCGGACUGAGAGGUUGACCGGCCACAUUGGGACUGAGACACGGCCCAGACUCCCACGGGAGGCAGCAGUGGGGAAUAUUGCGCAAUGGGGGGAACCCUGACGCAGCGACGCCGCGUGAAGGACGAAGGUUUUCGGAUUGUAAACUUCUUUGGCCGGGGACGAAAAAAUGACGGUACCCGGUUAACAAGCCACGGCUAACUACGUG